RNAcentral lists this ribosomal RNA (117 nucleotides) under Danio rerio (zebrafish). The record is from RNAcentral. Lineage: Eukaryota; Metazoa; Chordata; Actinopteri; Cypriniformes; Danionidae.
UGCCACAACUAAAUCACCCUGCAGGCCAAGACUGGUUACUCACUGAAGCUAGGUAGGGCUGAGCCUGGUCAGUACCUGGAUGGAGGACCACAUGGGAAAAUUAGGUUGCUGUUGGAA